Molecule: ribosomal RNA, 497 nt
Filed under: uncultured bacterium
Lineage: Bacteria
Description: partial 16S ribosomal RNA
Rfam family: Bacterial small subunit ribosomal RNA
Source: RNAcentral
GAUGAACGCUGGCGGCGUGCCUAAUACAUGCAAGUCGAGCGAACGGACGAGAAGCUUGCUUUUCUGAUGUUAGCGGCGGACGGGUGAGUAACACGUGGAUAACCUACCUAUAAGACUGGGAUAACUUCGGGAAACCGGAGCUAAUACCGGAUAAUAUUUUGAACCGCAUGGUUCAAAAGUGAAAGACGGUCUUGCUGUCACUUAUAGAUGGAUCCGCGCUGCAUUAGCUAGUUGGUAAGGUAACGGCUUACCAAGGCAACGAUGCAUAGCCGACCUGAGAGGGUGAUCGGCCACACUGGAACUGAGACACGGUCCAGACUCCUACGGGAGGCAGCAGUAGGGAAUCUUCCGCAAUGGGCGAAAGCCUGACGGAGCAACGCCGCGUGAGUGAUGAAGGUCUUCGGAUCGUGAAACUCUGUUAUUAGGGAAGAACAUAUGUGUAAGUAACUGUGCACAUCUUGACGGUACCUAAUCAGAAAGCCACGGCUAACUACGUG